Molecule: ribosomal RNA, 643 nt
Filed under: uncultured bacterium
Lineage: Bacteria
Description: bacterial SSU rRNA
Rfam family: Bacterial small subunit ribosomal RNA
Source: RNAcentral
CGCGGCCUAUCAGCUUGUUGGUGAGGUAAUGGCUCACCAAGGCGUCGACGGGUAGCCGGCCUGAGAGGGUGACCGGCCACACUGGGACUGAGACACGGCCCAGACUCCUACGGGAGGCAGCAGUGGGGAAUAUUGCGCAAUGGGCGAAAGCCUGAUGCAGCAACGCCGCGUGAGGGAUGACGGCCUUCGGGUUGUAAACCUCUUUUAGCAGGGAAGAAGCGAAAGUGACGGUACCUGCAGAAAAAGCGCCGGCUAACUACGUGCCAGCAGCCGCGGUAAUACGUAGGGCGCAAGCGUUAUCCGGAAUUAUUGGGCGUAAAGAGCUCGUAGGCGGUUUGUCGCGUCUGCUGUGAAAUCCCGAGGCUCAACCUCGGGCCUGCAGUGGGUACGGGCAGACUAGAGUGCGGUAGGGGAGAUUGGAAUUCCUGGUGUAGCGGUGGAAUGCGCAGAUAUCAGGAGGAACACCGAUGGCGAAGGCAGAUCUCUGGGCCGUAACUGACGCUGAGGAGCGAAAGGGUGGGGAGCAAACAGGCUUAGAUACCCUGGUAGUCCACCCCGUAAACGUUGGGAACUAGUUGUGGGGACCAUUCCACGGUUUCCGUGACGCAGCUAACGCAUUAAGUUCCCCGCCUGGGGAGUACGG